UGGAGUUUGCUAGAUGUCCACUCCAGACCCUAUUUGCUUGGGUGUCAGCAGCAGUGGCUGCAGAACAGCUGAUUUUCGUGAACCGCGAAUACUGCUGUCUGAUCAUUCUUCUGGAAGUUUUGUCUCAGAGGAGUACCCAGCCAUGUGAGGUGUCAGUCUGCCCCUAGUGGGGGGUGCCUCCCAGUUAGGCUGCUCAUGGUUCAGGGGUCCGGGACCCACUUGAGGAGUCUGUCUGCCUGUU
This 241-nucleotide long non-coding RNA is filed under the name Homo sapiens (human). Its description in RNAcentral is "HSALNT0257625". The record is from RNAcentral. Lineage: Eukaryota; Metazoa; Chordata; Mammalia; Primates; Hominidae.